Molecule: ribosomal RNA, 99 nt
Filed under: Escherichia coli
Lineage: Bacteria; Pseudomonadati; Pseudomonadota; Gammaproteobacteria; Enterobacterales; Enterobacteriaceae
Description: partial 16S ribosomal RNA
Rfam family: Bacterial small subunit ribosomal RNA
Source: RNAcentral
UUAAAUUGAAGAGUUUGAUCAUGGCUCAGAUUGAAUGCUGGCGGCAGGCCUAACACAUGCAAGUCGAACGGUAACAGGAAACAGCUUGCUGUUUCGCUG